AGUGAGCGGCAAAAGCUCAAAUUUGAAAUCUGGCGUCUUCGACGUCCGAGUUGUAAUUUGAAGAAGGCGACUUUGUAGCUGGUCCUUGUCUAUGUUCCUUGGAACAGGACGUCAUAGAGGGUGAGAAUCCCGUGUGGCGAGGAUCCCAGUUAUUUGUAAAGUGCUUUCGACGAGUCGAGUUGUUUGGGAAUGCAGCUCUAAGUGGGUGGUAAAUUCCAUCUAAAGCUAAAUAUUGGCGAGAGACCGAUAGCGAACAAGUACAGUGAUGGAAAGAUGAAAAGAACUUUGAAAAGAGAGUGAAAAAGUACGUGAAAUUGUUGAAAGGGAAGGGCAUUUGAUCAGACAUGGCGUUUGCUUCGGCUUUCGCUGGGCCAGCAUCAGUUUUAGCGGUUGGAUAAAUCCUCGGGAAUGUGGCUCUGCUUCGGUAGAGUGUUAUAGCCCGUGGGAAUACAGCCAGCUGGGACUGAGGAUUGCGACUUUUGUCAAGGAUGCUGGCGUAAUGGUUAAAUGCCGC
This 514-nucleotide ribosomal RNA is filed under the name Kluyveromyces marxianus. RNAcentral describes it as "eukaryotic LSU rRNA". It matches the Rfam family "Eukaryotic large subunit ribosomal RNA", at positions 92 to 648 of the family's 3401-position model. Lineage: Eukaryota; Fungi; Ascomycota; Saccharomycetes; Saccharomycetales; Saccharomycetaceae. The record is from RNAcentral.